This 494-nucleotide ribosomal RNA is filed under the name uncultured bacterium. Its description in RNAcentral is "partial 16S ribosomal RNA". It matches the Rfam family "Bacterial small subunit ribosomal RNA", at positions 28 to 504 of the family's 1533-position model. The record is from RNAcentral.
GAUGAACGCUGGCGGCGUGCCUAAUACAUGCAAGUCGAGCGAACAGACGAGGAGCUUGCUCCUCUGACGUUAGCGGCGGACGGGUGAGUAACACGUGGAUAACCUACCUAUAAGACUGGGAUAACUUCGGGAAACCGGAGCUAAUACCGGAUAAUAUAUUGAACCGCAUGGGUCAAUAGUGAAAUACGGUUUUGCUGUCACUUCUAGAUGGAUCCGCGCCGCAUUAGCUAGUUGGUAAGGUAACGGCUUACCAAGGCAACGAUGCGUAGCCGACCUGAGAGGGUGAUCGGCCACACUGGAACUGAGCCACGGUCCAGACUCCUACGGGAGGCAGCAGUAGGGAAUCUUCCGCAAUGGGCGAAAGCCUGACGGAGCAACGCCGCGUGAGUGAUGAAGGUCUGCGGAUCGUAAAACUCUGUUAUUAGGGAAGAACAAAUGUGUAAGUAACUAUGCACGUCUUGACGGUACCUAAUCAGAAAGCCACGGCUAACUAC